UAGACAUUAACAGACACUUGUGGUGGAAUUUGGAAUAAAUUGGCCUGCUUUAGAAGAGUUUGCAGAAGGGCAGCUGUGCUGUAAAGCAAAAUUCAUCCCCCAGGUCAACAGUUCCCUUGGAAGCAUCCUGCCUCCCAUGAUCCUCGAUCCCGGCAGUCCUGGUCAAGCCUGGGCCCAGGAGGCAAGGACUACAGCACCCUUGGCAACUGUUCUUCCCCACAAUCAGAUGGGACUCAGCAUGAACCGCUAUGGUAUCUUCUCUUACUCAGGGGUGCUCACUCCUGUGCUCCUCCAUUUUUCCCCAGUCUCCCUGGAUGUCAGCCUCCCUGCCUUCCAAUGAUGGCAGCUAAGAUUUAUUGGCCACUUGCUAUGUGUCAAGUUCUACUGUAUGUGCUUUACAUGUUCGAACUCAUGCAAUCCUCACCACCCUGUGACACUGAAAUUAUAUAUCAGAAUGGAAUAUCCAGCUGAAUAUCAAUCCUGGAUACAGGUAUUUGCUGCUGUGUUUGUGAAGAUGAGCAAUUCCAAGGGCAAGAGAACAAUCUGUCUCAGAGUGCUUCAUUUAAGCAAGGACACGCUGCCAACUUGAAAGGAAAUGAAGGCCACACUUUGUCUAUGGGGGGAUCCUGCAGUUAUUCCCCUGCAAAUUUAAUUCAAACAGGUAUUGAGAUCUGAAACAUGGAGAUAUCCACAAAUUAGAGGAUACUUGGUUUUUAAAAAGGAAAGAAAAGAAAUCCAGGCCACAGAGAACUAUCUCAAAGCAGCAAUAGUAGUUCCUUUUCAUGUUCAUCACUGCAUUCCUAUGAACAUGUUUUGAAAGUCUGUACUGUGAAUAAAAUUUCUUGAGAUCUUCAUAUGAAAAAUGCAUAUUAUAAAUUUUAAAACUUAAAGUUAUUGUCAAGUCAAUUUUAUUUAAAAAAUAGCAUAUGUGUGUAAAAUGUGCAAAAUUAGUGCUAUUCCAAUACUUGACUUUUAAAAUUAUUAGUUAUACAAAUACGCCAUUCAACUAGUUUAUUGAUGAUUCCUUUAUAAAAUGCAGUGUUAUUUGAAUUAUCACUCAAAAAUAGACCUCUUUAG
This is a long non-coding RNA of Canis lupus familiaris (dog), 1077 nucleotides long. RefSeq lists it as uncharacterized. Lineage: Eukaryota; Metazoa; Chordata; Mammalia; Carnivora; Canidae. The transcript has 3 exons. The record is from RefSeq and is a predicted model, not a curated record.